ACGUAGGGGGCAAGCGUUGAUCGGAAUCACUGGGCUUACAGCGCGUGUAGGCGGGGCGGCAGGUCUUCUGUGAAAGCCCCCGGCUCAACCGGGGAAUUGCAGGGGAACCGCCGCUCUUGAGGCAGGUAGAGGUGACCGGAACGUGUGGUGGAGCGGUGAAAUGCGUAGAUAUCACACGGAACGCCGGUGGUGAAAACGGGUCACUGGGCCGUACCUGACGCUAAGACGCGACAGCACGGGGAGCGAACGG
RNAcentral lists this ribosomal RNA (250 nucleotides) under uncultured prokaryote. RNAcentral describes it as "partial 16S ribosomal RNA". It matches the Rfam family "Bacterial small subunit ribosomal RNA", at positions 525 to 775 of the family's 1533-position model. The record is from RNAcentral.